GUGCCAGCCGCCGCGGUAAUACAGAGGGUGCGAGCGUUGUCCGGAAUUACUGGGCGUAAAGGGCGCGUAGGUGGCUUGAUAAGUAGGAGGUGAAAUCUCACGGCUCAACCGGGAGGCUGCCUUCUAGACUGUCAGGCUUGAGCAUGGUAGAGGCAGAUGGAAUUCCCGGUGUAGCGGUGGAAUGCGUAGAGAUCGGGAAGAACACCAGUGGCGAAGGCGGUCUGCUGGGCCAUAGCUGACACUGAGGCGCGAUAGCGUGGGGAGCAAACAGGAUUAGAAACCCUUGUAGUCC
This 292-nucleotide ribosomal RNA is filed under the name uncultured bacterium. RNAcentral's name for it is "partial 16S ribosomal RNA". It matches the Rfam family "Bacterial small subunit ribosomal RNA", at positions 505 to 796 of the family's 1533-position model. The record is from RNAcentral.